UGGGCAGAAGGUCAGGUUCAAAAGUGCUGAGCCUCCAGCAGGAAGAACAGAAAGGUUAAAGAGUCUCCACACCACUGAGAGAGACAUGAGAGGCACAGUGAAGAGGCUUUUCAAAACUAAUACAACCCACAGCUGCAAAGGUUGUUUGAGCCCACUACAGAGGCCAGCCCCACAGUGUAAGACCGACUACAGUAACUGGUGUGAUAAACAGCAGAUAGAGCUAAUUCUUCAGACUGUGACUCUACAAAACCACUACAAAGUCCAGUUUUGGCUGCACGUCUAUGCUACUCCCAACAUGCCAGAGAACUCAGAGCCCAUUGGUCUCUGUUGGUCUCUGUGCCAACAAGAACCAUGUUGUUCGUUCCUGUAAUGUUGGCAACAUCAUUGCACAGUAUAAUGGGUUUCAGCUUGCUGGCCAUUUUG
Long non-coding RNA from Oreochromis niloticus (Nile tilapia), 423 nucleotides. RefSeq lists it as uncharacterized. The record is from RefSeq and is a predicted model, not a curated record. The transcript has 3 exons. Lineage: Eukaryota; Metazoa; Chordata; Actinopteri; Cichliformes; Cichlidae.